GCGGUCUCCUAGUGACACUGUGGGGAGGAAAAAUGUGCCAUCGGCUAUUUUGAGGAAGCACUUUGGAGGAGGAGGAACGUGAACCCUGCCGAUGUGCGAGCCAGAACACCAGCAAGUUGACCGCAAAAGCUCCGCUAGAGAGCUCGACCGACCGCGACAAAAAACUGUUGCGAAACCAAAAGAACUUUUUGGGGAGAACGGAAUUGGGUCUGCAGUUUCAGAAUCCGUAUGAUUUGUGAUAUACGGCCGUAUACGUAAGAUUCACCACAAAAUCCGUAUGAACUACAACUAUACCGUACGAGUUGACAGUCAACACCUCAGCUGCUUGAUGGAGUUUUGCCUUCUAUGUGGUUAAAUGUCGCACCCACAGGAGACUUUUCAACAGGAACAUGCUAAAGAAGGAAACCGAAGUGCCCGGAGAAAACCCACACAGGCACGGGGAGACUAUGUAAACUCCACAUGAAUGGGUCCGGAAUUGAAACCGGGACCUCGGAACUGUGAGGCCAACAGUUUCCCAGGCGCAGCCGAGGAGUAGAGGGUGUCCAUUUUGGUGGCCUCAGCAUUGCAUCUCUGCUUUUAUGAGAUGAGGUGGUUCUGCCGAUACCUGUCAUUCAGAAGUUAUUUUUACAGAAGAAAAUAAUGCAGCCUUCUGAGCAGUAUCCUAUAUUCUGUCACCAAAAGACAAGCUGUGGUUUAUGGAACGAUUCAUCAAUACUUACAAAGGAAGGGAAGACGAAAGGCAAGAGGUUCAACAAAAAUGCUAAGGGACAUGGGCUCGAAAGGCAAAGGAGACAUCCGACCAUUUUCCAAGCCACUUAAACUCACAAGGUCCCGAGAGUGCUGGCGCCUAUCCUAAACAACUUGGGGCAAAAGGCGGACUACACUCUGAAUUUGCUGCCAGUCCUUUGCAGGGCAUUACAAAGGAGACAGAUACAAGGCAACAAUAUGAAAGCUUAUUUCAUCAAAAUAUAGAGAAUUGAUGCUUUUGGUCUUUGGCGAGGUUUUGUAUUAAAUUUACUGAAUAACUAAUCAUUAUUGCAUCGUUACAGCUGAGUUGCAGUCAGAGGGAGCCUCCAAUCAGUAAACUGUAAUUGGAUUGAAUGAGUAGUAAUGGGGCAGUGAAAGAUUUGACCAAUGAGUGAAUGACUGUUGGGGGAUGGGCCACUCAGACAGUAUGACUGCAUGACAUUUCAAAGCCAUGAGAAGUCCUGUUCUGUGCUUUAUUAUACCGGGCUGUGAAAAUGUGUUUGUCAUCUUUUCAAAUUCUUGUUUCAUUUGCAUUGUUCCGCCACUUUUUUAGAUAUUAUCAUACAAUUUUAAAUAUCAAAGAUAAUCGAAGUAAGCAAAAGAUAUAGUUUUUUAAAUUAUGUUUUUAUUUUUUAAGGCAAAAAUAACUUUUCAAAGCUACCUGGCCAUUUGUGAAUGUGAUGUCUCAUUCAGGAGGUCACAAAGGAACCCUCAAAAACUAAACCAUCUUUCUCAUUUAAUAAUGCAUAUUUUAGGUGGAGAGAUGUCAGGGGGAUGUUAUAGUCAUAUAGGUGAUACUUCAAACCUCCUCUGAUGAGAGACAGCUUUUCUAGUUUGAUAUCAAUGGCAUCUUUUACACCUCUUUCAAACCAGUUGUCCUCCCUAUCCAGAAUUUGGAGGAAUGGAGCACUCCUUCUGGGAGACCUGUGGGGACUUCUCCAGAAAAAUGAGCACCGGACCUGAGAUAAGGAAGAAUUUGGUCCACAUUGCCGGCAGUAGCUCAGAUUCAUUUGCAUGUAGGGUGGACUCUGCAAAGUCUUCCCUCUCUCACAUAUUCCCAACGUCAUAACCUUUAAUGACGCAUCUUCCAGGUGUAACCAAAGUGUUGAGGGAUUAGAGUUGGUGGUAUUGUGUCUUGAUGUGAUUUUGUUGGCUUAAUAAAAUCAUGAACUGGAACUCUUGCUGUAGUUGUUCACAUACAACUAUGAAGUGGGUGGAAUGAGAUUCAAAAUCUGAGCCCAUGGUUCUCAGUUAGAAAAGGGUGGUGUGCCCUCCCCCAAGUGGAGGAGUUCCAGUAUCUUGAGGUCGUGUUCAGGAGUAAGGGAAGAAUGGAACCUGAGAUCCACAGACUGAUGGGUGUAGCAUUUGCAAUGAUGCGGACCCUGCAUUAGUCUGUUGUUGUGAAUAAAGAGCUGAGCCGAAAGGUAAAUCUCUCGAUUGGUGGGAGUAAGGAUUCUUCUUGAGAAAGAGUUAAAAUUCUAAAUUCACCUGCAUUGUUUUUUUAAGUGUACGGGGAGGUUUCCUCCUACAUACCCAAAAACAUGUUAUGUUAGCUCAGUGCUUCUCAUAUAAUUUCUGUUAACCCCCCUCACCCAAGCAAGAAGACAAUUUGCGCCCCCCCGCCCUGACUAUAAAUAUUAUCAUUUGUCUAUAAAAUUCUAUAGCUCUGCAUAACAUUGUAUUCUCAAUAACAUUAAAGAAAACAAAAUAAAUUAAAAAGAAAUAUAGUUCAACUUAUAAAGAAUAACUAUUAAAUGUUUUUGUUUCUAACAAUAAUAUUCAUUUUGCAGUGCAUCAAUUUGCCUGAAAUAAAAAAAACCCUUGUUGAAACUGUAAACAUAUUUCACCAAUUUAUU
This is a long non-coding RNA of Syngnathoides biaculeatus (alligator pipefish), 2603 nucleotides long. RefSeq lists it as uncharacterized. The transcript has 6 exons. The record is from RefSeq and is a predicted model, not a curated record. Lineage: Eukaryota; Metazoa; Chordata; Actinopteri; Syngnathiformes; Syngnathidae.